CAGUGUUAUAGCUCUUUUAAAAUUUGUCUAGCAGGCUUUCCGGUAAAGACUGGAAAGCCCCU
Molecule: small nuclear RNA, 62 nt
Organism: Homo sapiens (human)
Lineage: Eukaryota; Metazoa; Chordata; Mammalia; Primates; Hominidae
Source: Ensembl